RNAcentral lists this ribosomal RNA (274 nucleotides) under uncultured bacterium. Its description in RNAcentral is "partial 16S ribosomal RNA". It matches the Rfam family "Bacterial small subunit ribosomal RNA", at positions 523 to 796 of the family's 1533-position model. The record is from RNAcentral.
AUACGGAGGGUGCAAGCGUUACUCGGAAUCACUGGGCGUAAAGCGCGCGCAGGCGGUCUUUUAAGUUGGAUGUGAAAGCCUACGGCUCAACCGUAGAACUGCAUCCAAAACUAUUAGACUAGAGUGUGAGAGAGGAAGAUGGAAUUAGUUGUGUAGGGGUAAAAUCCGUAGAGAUAACUAGGAAUACCAAAAGCGAAGGCAAUCUUCUGGAACACUACUGACGCUGAGGCGCGAAAGCGUGGGGAGCAAACAGAAUUAGAAACCCUAGUAGUCC